RNAcentral lists this small RNA (125 nucleotides) under Marmota monax (woodchuck). Lineage: Eukaryota; Metazoa; Chordata; Mammalia; Rodentia; Sciuridae. The record is from RNAcentral.
GCCGGGCACAGUGGCGCACGCUUGAAAUCCCAGCGGCUCUGGAGGCUGAGGCAGGAGGAUCGUGAGUUCAAAGCCAGCCUCAGCAAAAGUGAAGUGCUAAGCAACUCAAUGAGACCCUGUCUCUA